CAAGUAAUCCAUUAAAAGAGUCAAGUAGAGAAUAAAAUCUACUAUCUUUUAUGAUUUAAAAAGUUUUUCAUCACUUUUAUUGCUGAGACUCAGCUAAAUAAAUAAUCCACAUCAUCCCUGCACUACGGCCAAGGAUAUUCAUUAGGGUCACGACCACAAAUUCCAUGCACUACGGGCCAAGGAUAUUUGUGUAUUCAUCAAUGGUCAUGAUCAUGCCAACAACUGUCCAUCAAUGCACUACGGG
Molecule: long non-coding RNA, 244 nt
Filed under: Panax ginseng (ginseng)
Lineage: Eukaryota; Viridiplantae; Streptophyta; Magnoliopsida; Apiales; Araliaceae
Description: long non-coding RNA (PGIN_LNC002143)
Source: RNAcentral